CAGCAGCCGCGGUAAUACGUAGGUGGCGAGCGUUGUCCGGAAUCAUUGGGCGUAAAGGGAGCGCAGGCGGGCAUGUAAGUCUUUCUUAAAAGUGCGGGGCUCAACCCCGUGAUGGGAAAGAAACUACAUGUCUUGAGUACAGGAGAGGAAAGCGGAAUUCCCAGUGUAGCGGUGAAAUGCGUAGAUAUUGGGAGGAACACCAGUGGCGAAGGCGGCUUUCUGGACUGCAACUGACGCUGAGGCUCGAAAGCCAGGGGAGCGAACGGGAUUAGAUACCCCCGUAGUCCCUGUCUCUUAUACA
RNAcentral lists this ribosomal RNA (301 nucleotides) under uncultured bacterium. RNAcentral's name for it is "partial 16S ribosomal RNA". It matches the Rfam family "Bacterial small subunit ribosomal RNA", at positions 509 to 809 of the family's 1533-position model. The record is from RNAcentral.